Molecule: transfer RNA, 67 nt
Filed under: Scolopsis vosmeri (whitecheek monocle bream)
Lineage: Eukaryota; Metazoa; Chordata; Actinopteri; Spariformes; Nemipteridae
Description: tRNA-Cys
Source: RNAcentral
AGCCUUGAGGUGUAUGACACGUUUGAUUGCAAAUCUUAAGAAGCAGACUAAAUAUCUGCCGGGGCUU